RNAcentral lists this ribosomal RNA (439 nucleotides) under uncultured Gammaproteobacteria bacterium. Its description in RNAcentral is "bacterial SSU rRNA". It matches the Rfam family "Bacterial small subunit ribosomal RNA", at positions 958 to 1397 of the family's 1533-position model. Lineage: Bacteria; Pseudomonadati; Pseudomonadota; Gammaproteobacteria. The record is from RNAcentral.
AACGCGAAGAACCUUACCUGGUCUUGACAUCCACGGAAGUUUUCAGAGACGAGAAUGUGCCUUCGGGAACCGUGAGACAGGUGCUGCAUGGCUGUCGUCAGCUCGUGUUGUGAAAUGUUGGGUUAAGUCCCGCAACGAGCGCAACCCUUAUCCUUUGUUGCCAGCGGUCCGGCCGGGAACUCAAAGGAGACUGCCGGUGAUAAACUGGAGGAAGGUGGGGAUGACGUCAAGUCAUCAUGGCCCUUACGACCAGGGCUACACACGUGCUACAAUGGCGCAUACAAAGAGAAGCGACCUCGCGAGAGCAAGCGGACCUCAUAAAGUGCGUCGUAGUCCGGAUUGGAGUCUGCAACUCGACUCCAUGAAGUCGGAAUCGCUAGUAAUCGUGGAUCAGAAUGCCACGGUGAAUACGUUCCCGGGCCUUGUACACACCGCCCGU